This is a long non-coding RNA of Camelus dromedarius (Arabian camel), 444 nucleotides long. RefSeq lists it as uncharacterized. The transcript has 3 exons. NCBI's taxonomy places the organism in Eukaryota, Metazoa, Chordata, Mammalia, Artiodactyla, Camelidae. The record is from RefSeq and is a predicted model, not a curated record.
CUCACGUGCCAGACCGCGGUGCCCGUGCAGCGUCGACACACGUCGGACCUCGAAGCUGAGGUGUCCUCACAGGCCUUUAGCUCCGGGAACUCUGGUCUGAAACUCCAGGUACAAGGCUUCUGCACACAGCACCCUGUGAGCAAGUGAAACUAGACUAAGCGCAAAGGAAAAGAAAAGAGGGUCCUUCGUGGGAAGAGAAGAGUCGUCCUUGAGGACAGGAGUCCUUGAAUUUGGCCUCAGAGUCAUUUUGGAGAAUUAGUUAAAAGCACUGCCCGAUUUCCUCUCUGGAUAUUUUGAUGCAGCUGGACUCAGGAGGUGCUUGGAAGGUAGCGCUGUUGGCUCAUUUUGAAAAAAGCCUGAGCGUGGCUGUCAGACCCUGCCUGGGACUUGGACCCACCUUGAGUGAAACAUCCUCACUCUCGACCUCAGGAACUCCCAGCGGCG